AGUCCACUAUGAUAAAUAGUUAAGCCCAUACGGACAGGCGGGACUGCUGCCGG
RNAcentral lists this small RNA (53 nucleotides) under unclassified sequences. RNAcentral's name for it is "Streptococcus sRNA SpF59 (ldcC RNA)". It matches the Rfam family "Streptococcus sRNA SpF59 (ldcC RNA)". The record is from Rfam by way of RNAcentral.